RNAcentral lists this long non-coding RNA (9856 nucleotides) under Chlamydomonas reinhardtii. Its description in RNAcentral is "long non-coding RNA (CREI_LNC000482)". The record is from RNAcentral. Lineage: Eukaryota; Viridiplantae; Chlorophyta; Chlorophyceae; Chlamydomonadales; Chlamydomonadaceae.
CCCUUGCGUUUUCCGCCGUCCGUGCUGUUGCUGCUCUUGCCGGCGCCUUUUGGUGACGGCGGUGACUGCGGCGGCGGCUGCGGCCGCGGCGGCGGCAGGCGGGCAAAGACCGCGAAGUCGCGGCCGGUGAGGUCUCGCNNNNNNNNNNNNNNNNNNNNNNNNNNNNNNNNNNNNNNNNNNNNNNNNNNNNNNNNNNNNNNNNNNNNNNNNNNNNNNNNNNNNNNNNNNNNNNNNNNNNCCGCUGCUGCCGCUGACCGGCUCCUCUCCGCCCUCCUCCCCUCCCGCUGGCCUGCACCGGCUGCUCCGCCACCACCGCCGCCGUCUUGUUGGCGUUGCGCCGCUGCGUGUUGAAGACGCCGCCCGCCGCCCCCCGCUCAAACGCCUCCACCGCCUGCUGUAGCUUCGGCGCCAGCGCGCCGUCUGCCGGCGCCUGCCGGCACACCACCAGCGGCGUGAAGCGAUCGCCCGGCGCCACAGGCAGCGGCUCCACCACCGCCGCCUCCACGGCUGCCGACUUCUUGCCCCGGCCCUUGCGCCGGCGCCCGUCCUGGCCCCCGCCCUUGCGUUUUCCGCCGUCCGUGCUGUUGCUGCUCUUGCCGGCGCCUUUUGGUGACGGCGGUGACUGCGGCGGCGGCUGCGGCCGCGGCGGCGGCAGGCGGGCAAAGACCGCGAAGUCGCGGCCGGUGAGGUCUCGCAGCGCGGCGGGGCAGGUGCCGCUGCGCCGCAUGUGCUCGCCCAGGGCCGUGACGGCGUCCAGGUCGCACACGAACACCACCGCAUCGGCGGCCAGCGGCUGCUGCCAGCUGCCCGGGCCCUCAUGCCGCCGCUGAUGCGGUUGGUGUUCCGGUUGCUGCUUCAGCGGCUGUUGCUGUUGCUGCGGUCCUGCGGCCCCGCUGCCCUCGGCGCCGCCUGCAGCACCCCCCGUGAGCACGAAGCCCGCGGCCGCCAGGCGCUCCCGCUCCUGGCCAGUGACCUCCCGACAGUCUUUCAUAGCACUCGCCCGCGCUUCGGACAGGACAAUACAACUUAACACUUGCUACAAUAUGGUAGAUGCCUAUUUGGACAGUGUAACGGAAAAAGGGCUUCCCCUGCACGCAAAUGCACACAUGCAUCGUGCAUGUCUCCCAAUAUCCAAGCAUCGAAGACCCUGACCCCUGGGACCUCUCAUUCUUAACCUUGUCAGCAGAUAUGGCGCACCUAGCAGCCGCGGGCUGCAGCCCCAGCUGAUCCCGCGCAUUGAAAUUCUACGCCACAGAGUUGUAUACGCGUUGGCGCUGCUGCAUGUUGCGUGCCUGGCUCAUACGCUACCAUAUGUAUCUGAGAUGCCUAUUCGGGGGUUGUGCAAGCUUCCGUGUGUGUCCUGACCCGAAUGCGCAUUUGAUUUGUCGCGUUGACACCACAUAUUGUUAUGAGACGCAGCCCAUCCUACUUAUGCAGGCCCCAGUAGGACAUUUCCGUUAUCCCGGCGACUUAGCACGAGGCCGACGUCUCACCGGCAGCAGUAGCGCCGAGCAGAGUGUUAAGAUCCGCCCGCGACCAAGUAAUGGCUCCAUCUAGUCUAUAUGAUUACAUGGAGGGUUCCUGGCGCGCCGGGCGCUCCAAAAAGAGAAAGGUUGCAGAAUUGCUUGGUGAAUUUCAAACAUCGGUCAAAGGCCAGUAAACUAUUCGCCCGGCGCGUCAGGGGUCUUCUAUGAGGUGCCCCUUAUUGGUCUAUGCAAAGAAAUCGGGCCGGGGCCUGGUCGCAACUGGGAAUUGGGGGCGGUUGCCGGCCGUUGCCGAUCACAUGGGCCGAGUUGGCCACCCCGCACCCCUGCAUCUCACACAUCCCAAUUCAACGCAAAACCACCAUCCCAUCUAUUGAAGCGACACCAGCUGGCGCACCGGCUGUGCAUAGCCUCCAGAACUGGGAGUUUGACUCGCAACUACGAAGAAAAGGCUGCGUGGCCCUUAUCCACGCUUGCCCGUAUUAUUAGUUGAGCUUGGCAAGCUUGUGCCUAUUGCUGUUUGUAACACCACACAAGAUGCGCCACGACCCCACUCCCUCUCCCAAUCUCCCAUCUGUCCUCGCUCCCCGGCUUCCACCUUCCCGCCCAGGACGUUAAACCUCCACCACAACCUAGACCACUUAGGCCCUAGAGCUGCACAGCACUUAAGCACGUACCGAGCAUGAAGGGGCAACUCUCAUACCACAAAUUCAACCUGUCCCCGAAGUGGGCUUGCUUGGCUGGUUCUCAAGCGUCCAGCUGAAAGUGCAACGCGUCACCUCCCAUACACCGCGUACCCCCUCCAUCACCCACCGUGCUACUGCGGCGGCGGCGGCGGCCGGUGCAACGCCGGCAGCCAGCCCAUGCCAAAGGGCUCCAGCAAUCAAAUCUCCGCCACAUCCCACGGCGGCCGUAACUGGCUGGCACGGCAGCGCUGCGGUGAGUCCGUGACCCCGGCGCGGGCAACCCAGCCAAGCUUUGCCCGACCCCGUGUCCUCCAUCGUUGUAUGUCACCAUUUCCCUUUGAGGUGGCGACGGUUAGGUGCCCUUGCAAGCCCCGAGGCGACAGACACAACCCAGCCAUGCCCAGGACGUAGCAACUACGGUACUACGGUUGCUUCUCAAAAGCCGGCGGGGCAGUGCUGCCGUGCCCCCUAUGCGAGGAACCCGGGUAACCGCACCAAUCUAAACUGGUGGGUCAGUGCAUGGGCAGCCGCGGGCCCCGGAAGCACGACAGUGGCAACCACUAGCGUUCAGCCUGCAGCCCCGCUUCUCCCCAACAUCUGGUAUUCGGGCCCCAAAUGUCGUGAAGUGCCCAGGCGGUUAAACGCGCGCCUUGCGCGGCUACUUCCGUUGGAUGAAGCAUACGACGACAAGCGGAUGGCAUCAUUCGGCUUUUGGACGGGUUUCUGGCAGGUUCGGUCCGUUACAGAGUGGUGCGCUAAUGCCGUAAGCGCGUGACCUCGCCGCAUCACCGCGCUCACGAACGCCACAAUUGGCAACACUGCGUAACACGCCCAGGUCUGACACUGUCGGUUCCUGUUCCACCCUGCCACCCCUUUAUUUGCGCCUGGCCCCUUCUGCCGCUACCCUGGCGCAAGAGAGCAUGCAAUCAAUCAAGUGAACAAGUUGCUGUCCGCCGCGGCGUGUGCAACAAGCGAGCCCCGCAUGUUCGCAUCCCUGAGAAGCUUCACGACGCCUUUAGCCAGUCCUGCUGAUCGUGUAUCCCACGUGGACGAAGUGUCCCACACACGCACAACCGGUACACGGAUGCCCGCGCUCACGUAAAGACAUCACCCGUACAGCACCCGUCAACGCCGCACGCCAAGCCAUUCACCCCUCACAAACGAUUCGGUGGCAUGCAUGCGUCGCUGCCGUGGGCUUCAUGGGCUCGUGCCCAGCAAGAAGCAGCCCUUUCCUCACCGCAACUGCCCCCCGCCCGGAGCUCAUACAUGGGACGCGCCGUUACAUGUUCGGGGAAUCGCGCGCACCGGCGGUGGGCUUGUGCUGCUCCUCCGCCGGGGGCUCACGCUGCACAGCAGUGGGAGGCAGCUCGGGGCGCUUGGGCUCGGGCUCGUGGCCAUCGCCGGCGGGCUGGACCGCGAACUCCGCCGCCAGCCGGGCAAUCACCCACUCCAGCCAUUGCUUGUCCUUGUCAGCCAGGCCGCUGAUACCAGGGCGGAGCUUCUUGAGGAGGCUCUGCGGACAAGUGCGACAGUGGCGGGUUAUUAGUCUCCCGGACGCACGCACGGGCAACCGGAUUGGCGGGAACCAUGUACGGGGAGCGUCAGCGGUGGGCGCACGCCGCAACAGCGGCUGCCUGCGCGCGCUUGCUGCACUCGAGACGUGUGUGUCACAACAGUCAGCUACAGGCCUACAGCUAGCUGCAUGCACACGCAGGACCACACCCAGCGGAACCCCAGCUCACCAGCCCCUCCUUGCGCGUGAGCGCGCCGUCCACGCCGCCGCCAGUCUUGCCGGGCAGGAUCAUCCGCACCAGCGCCAGCGCGCGGUACUGCCGCGGCGCCAUGGCCAGGUAGCCGCGCGCCAGCACCAGCGCCAGCGUGGGGCUGCUGGCCGGCACCGUGCGGCCCAGCACCUGCUGCCAGGCCGUGCAGGACAGCACCCCGCCGCCGCCGCUGCCGCCGCUGCUGCUGUCCACCGCGUCCUCGCCGACGCCCUGCGCCUCGCCCUCCUCCUCGUCCUCGCCGUCAUCACCCUCGGCACCGGGCUCUGCUUUGCCCGUGAACGCGGCCUUGAGCCCCGGCAUGUUGUCCAGGAAGUCAUCGAGCAGGAAGGGCAUCAGCCGAUCCAGCUCCUCACGAGCCAUCUUGUCCACGGAGCUGCUCGAGCGGCGGGCGCCGGGGUUGCUGGAGGCGCUCACCAUGUCCUUGACGAUGGCGCGAUGCAGCGUGAUGCCACCCUUCCUGUUGCGCAGAUCGGCCAGGCAGGCGCGGACAUCAGCCUUGAAGCGCAGCCAGGCCCGCUCGCCGCCGUCGCCGUCGCCGUCGGCGUCGGCGGCGUCGGCAGUGCGGCGGUCGCCGCUCUCGUCGCCCCCGCCGUCGCUGCCGGUGCCCACCACGGCGGCCAUGGCAGCCAGGUUGUCCAUCUUGGCGGGGUGGUCGGCGAGCGUCUCGGCCAGCAUCAGCUGCAGCUCGUUGAAGCUGACUCCCAGGAUCUCCUCAAGCUGAUUUCACCGGCCAUAUGGGCGGUGGCGCAGGGCGGGCAAGGUUACACGUACGGUAUUAGGACAUUUGUUCAAGUGACGCAAGUACUGGGUGCGUGUGCUUCCAUGCGUGCGUCCCAUAUACUGUGUCACCCCCUAAAGUGCCCAUCUCGGAUGCCGAGACUGCCCACGCCCGCGGAGCUGAGGCGCAUGCUGCUGUGACACACACGAGUGAGUGAGUGCAGCAGGCAAGCACGGUAACCUGUCUGGUGCCGGGCCAAUCGGUGUAUUGUGCGUCACACCGUCCCGCACCCCUUCCUAGGCCACAAACAUACGGAGUCACACACGCCAUCAAGGACUACCAUACUCGCACCUGCAUCAACGCCGCCUUCAGCUCGGGCUCGUCGUCUGCCAUGCCACCCACCGCCAUCAGGAUGCGCCGCUGCUGCUCGAGCUCAGCCUGCAGCAGCGGGAGCACCGGUUGCAUGCAGGUAGUAGCUCACCGUUGGGAAGUAAAACACUCCACCCCUCCCCUGCUUCACAACUGUGUCGCCGGGUGUUGUUGUCCUACAUCGCGCAGCCCCCUAAUGAGGCCCUGACUGAGUAUGAGGCCAAUCACAUGCAGGAUCUCGGGCAGGCCGGGUCAUGGUGGGUCAGGCCCAUGUGUGUAUGUCAACUUACGAUGCGAGUUUUGUUUGUGAUGGCAUCAACACGCGCCCGGCUAAGGUCAUGUUCAAGGUCCUCCUGUAAAUACGGUACACACAUCAGUCACGUGCCGCCUGCUGGAUGGCCGCCCCCCUGCCCCGAGUAUGGGCAUGGCAACGUACGAUAAAGAAGGUUGCGUGCUCAUCAAGUACGACCUCACCUUGAGUUGCUGGCCAAACUCAUAAAGCGCAGAGCUGAAUACACGGAUGCCGCCGCCGGCCUUGCUGCGGGAGGCAGGCAGCAGCGGGCCGGUGGCGAUGGUGAAGGGGCCGGGCCGGGUGACGGACGGCGUGACGCGGCGGCACGCCACGACCGGUCGGGGAGCCAGGGCGCACCCGCUGCUGGCAGCAGCGGAGCGGGCGCUGCGCAGGCUGCUGGAAAGCUGCAUAUUGGAUGGGCGGCUCGAACGGGACGUGGAGUGAGGAGGCAGCACCUGCGUGUGUGUGCGAGUGCGGGUGGUGUGGCAGGGGCGUGCGCGUGUGAACCGGUAUGUGAUGUGACAGCGACAGCGCAACAGCUCCUGCGUGGCUUGAGGCCCUGACACAACAGAAAUUAUGGAAGCCACAGAUGUGGCACCAGCGUUCAAGGGGUUCAGCACACAUAGCGGCAACCCAACGCGGGCGGCAUAUGGGUGCGCUGAGAUGGCAUGGAUGGCCAGACGGGCAGUGAGGCAACUGGUGUACCCUGUGCACAAAUUGAUGUUCCCGCACAUCUCUCAGCCUCGACAUCGCUGCAAAAUCUACCCGGCGCAGCGUGCGCCACCCCUGACUGCAGUUGACGCGACCCCGGUCCAAAGCAUCCCGGCAUCCCGCGCAAACAUCCCUGACGGCAGCCCGGCGCUAACCUGCUCAAGCGUCGCGCGACGGUAGCAGGCUAGACGUGAUGACGUAACCGCGGCCUGGAUGACGUAGGCAGGCAGGGCGCCACAAGCGCAGCAGCGAAGGCUCUGUGCGCCAGGCAGGGCAGGACGUGGCAGGAGGCCAGCAGCGAGGACAGCAGCGGACCACCACGCUUGUGUGUAUGUUGUUAUAUGCAGUCUUCAGUAACAAAGUGGAUUGAGUACUGUAUGAUGACUUUUGGACUGGGCAUGAGGCGAUCCGAUUGUGCAAAUCGAAAAGCUUCCGCAACGGACGGCGGUUGGGCACCGUGCCGAGGGCGCACCAGUAGUGUUUUGCUGAAUUCCGUGUAAGCCCCCAACAGCCUCUAUUGCAAGAACGCAAGUCCUUCGGCAGUCCUAACGCUUCUUCCCGCAGCGGCUGAUGUGACUGGUGAGAACCCUUCGUAACAUGGUUAUAAGGCGUAUGGAGUUCCACUGCUUCUCCUUGCAUAGGACAGCUCCGUUCAUUUGCUGCGCGCCCUCGCCGGGUUGCCGCGGGCACACCAACAGUCACAUCAAGCAAGUUCAGCUCCAGGUCCCCAACUGUGCAUUCUAAAACUGCAAAUAAGUACCAGGAAUGCACUGGGCUUGUGAUGUCUGGCGAACGACGCGGGUCGGCGUUGCAUCGCUAGAAAUUAGAAUCGACGUGUUGUUCCAUGCCUUCCUGCACCGCUUUAUAACCUGAAAGCUUUGCCGAUAAAGGUGUCACGUAGUCGGUUCUGAUGCGUUAUCAGAACACAGGUUACCCCAUCCAGAGCGGGCGCGCAAAAGGUCGCGCAAGCAGGCACCCCUGCGCGCAAGCGAAUGUUUCCGCCGUUGUUCACUGCCGUGUGCCCCUCGCAACCCCCAGUCAACUGAUACAGCAACACACAGCACUAGCUCUGCUAUGCGCAUACCGUACGCGACUAACAUAUGUGAACGCCGCCUGCCAGUCCAGCACACCAGGCAACACACGCCACAGUACGACAGACGCCUCCCACGCACACACCAACCAUCUCACACAUCCCAAUUCAACGCAAAGCCACCAUCCCUUACUCGACACAAAGCUGCAGCACAUGCGGCACCAUGCGGGCAUCUGCUGCGGCCAGCCACCACCACCACCACUGACCGCAACAGCCACCUCCGCUGGGCCCCCAGCAGCACUUGCCCGCUGUCAAGGCGCUUGAACACUGCAACGGCAAGACUCUGCUGCGACCUCUUUCCUACGCCGGGCCCGCGUGCAGGGCCUUAUCCGCGGGCGCGCUUGGCCGACGACACGCCCCGGCGCUCCCCCACCGGCUGCACCGCCACCUCCGCCACCGCCUCCACCUGCUUCCGCUUGCGCUGCUUCACCGCCUCUGCCGGCGUCAACGCCACCAGCUGCUGCUGCUGUGGCUGCCGCACGGCAGCCCCGCGGGCCCGCUGCACCGCGCCCGCCCCUACCGCCACCUCCGCCGCCUCGGCUUCAGCCUGCUUCCGCUUGCUCUUCCGACGCGCCACCGGCGCCACCGACUUGCACCUCUUCUGCCGCUUCUCCGCCUGCAGCGCCGCGGCGCUGCCGCCCAGCAGCUUCCCCGCCGCCUCCGGCUCCGCCUCUGCCUCCAUCCCCUCCUCCCCCAGCCCCUCCGGCCCCGGCAGCUGGACCACAUCCCAGCACCCCUCCGCCUCGCGCACCACCUCCCAGUCGAACAGCGCCUCUGCCGCCUUGUCGCCACACGCCAUAAUGCUGCGCCGCAUCAACGUCGCCUCGCUCGGACUGCCCCGCGGCCGCGGCUCCGCCUCGUGCCGCGCCACCGCCGCCUUGUGCGCCCGGUCCAGCUCCGCCGCCUUGCGCACACGCCACAGCGCGUACGCCUCCGGGUCGCUGAACGCCUUGGGCCGGUUGCGUGUGAACUCCUUCCGCGCGCCCACGCGCCAGCGCUCCACCGCCGCCACCACGCAGUGCCGCACCCAGGCCGCGGAGCCGAGGCGGCGCAGGUCGCCGGACAGGGUGGCGCAGGGCUCGGUGCCGUGCGCCACCAGCCGCGUGUUGAGCAGCAGGGUGGUGCCGUGCAGCGGCGUGAAGCGCAGGUGCAGGUUGCCCAGGCGGAAGGCGCCGCCGCACAGCUCGCCGGCGCCCACCAGCAGCCAGGUGAUGAAGGACAGAGCCGGGUCGUCCUGCGCGCGCGGGGCAGGCGGGCAGGGGGGGGGAGGGAGAGGGGCAGGAGGAGGUGGGUUGGAGGUGCAAAAAGGGUGCGUGUGUAUACCGGUACGUGUCAUGGGGGUUCAAUGUAGUUCCCGUCUUCCGCUCGCCCUUCCCCGCCACCCGCAGCACGCCCCGCGCCUACCUGGUCGAAGUGCACUCGGUUGUAGUAGUUGAGUGUGUAAGACAUGGAGCAGAACGGCCCCGUGCCGGCGCCGUGGUGCCUGCAGGGACCAGGGAGGGGGCCGGAGGGGGGGGGUUAACUUUGAACCUAUCCAGAGGGGUGGGGUGAGAGAGCAGGCGAGGUAGUGGCCGGUGCUGGUCCCAAAGGCCCCAACAGCGGCAGCUGUGGUAGUGCCUGCACCGCCCUUGCGGCUACUACUCCACUCCCCUGAUCCCGGCCCCCGCGGCGCCACUCACUCCCUGCCCCUGCCGUGCUCCCGCAGCAGGGUCAUGUGGCGCGGGUGCUGCGCCUCCAGCAGCGCCGAGGCCGCCGCCAUCACCUCCCGCAUGCGCGCCACACGCGCCGGGCCCUUGGUGGGCUCCAGCAGGUGCGCGUAGCUGAGGCGCGGCGGAGGGGGAAGGAGGCAACAGGCAGGCAGGGAGAGCAGGGAGAGGAGAGGGACAUGGAUCAGGCGUCAAGCUGGAGGGCUUGGGGUUCAAUCCAGUGUAAGCGGCAGAUACGUGUACUUGUGUGCUGUGCGGCCUAGGCCCCCGCAGCUGGAUCAAGUGCCAGUCCCACGUCCGUCCCACGGCAUGCGCCACCCACUCACAGUCCGGGCGCGGCGGUGGGCGUGGUCUUGGCCCACACCAUGCCGGUGGUACCCAGCGGCGGCGGCGCCACCCGCACCUGCCUCAGCUGCCGCUGACCGGCUCCUCUCCGCCCGCCUCCCCUCCCGCUGGCCUGCACCGGCUGCUCCGCCACCACCGCCGCCGUCUUGUUGGCGCUGCGCCGCUGCGUGUUGAAGACGCCGCCCGCCGCCCCCUGCUCGAACGCCUCCACCGCCUGCUGUAGCUUCGGCGCCAGCGCGCCGUCUGCCGGCGCCUGCCGGCACACCACCAGCGGCGUGAGGCGAUCGCCCGGCGCCACAGGCAGCGGCUCCACCACCGCCGCCUCCACGGCUGCCGACUUCUUGCCCCGGCCCUUGCGCCGGCGCCCGUCCUUGCCCCCGCCCUUGCGUUUCCCGCCCUCCGUGCUGUUGCUGCUCUUGCCCGCGCCUUUUGGUGACGGCGGUGACUGCGGCGGCGGCGGCUGCGGCCGCGGCGGCGGCAGGCGGGCAAAGACCGCGAAGUCGCAGCCGGUAAGGUCUCGCAGCGCGGCGGGGCAGGUGCCGCUGCGCCGCAUGUGCUCGCCCAGGGCCGUGACGGCGUCCAGGUCGCACACGAACACCACCGCAUCGGCGGCCAGCGGCUGCUGCCAGCUGCCCGGGCCCUCAUGCCGCCGCUGAUGCGGUUGGUGUUCC